This is a long non-coding RNA of Acomys russatus (golden spiny mouse), 306 nucleotides long. RefSeq lists it as uncharacterized. The transcript is spliced from 3 exons. The record is from RefSeq and is a predicted model, not a curated record. NCBI's taxonomy places the organism in Eukaryota, Metazoa, Chordata, Mammalia, Rodentia, Muridae.
UUGUUCUUAUUGGAUAUAUACUUUUACCAGCCAGUGGCUUGGAGAUGCCAGGACCUCAGCCAGUUAGCCCUGGACAAAAUACCAUCAACUUCUUCCAUUGGAGUUUCUUCAGUUAAAUUGUUGGAAUUUUUGACAAGGUUCUCUUUAUGUGGAUUAUUAUAAGUGUGAUAACUCGGGACUCUCCACUUAUGGAAGUGCUCUCAGGGGACUGCAGAGGCCUCCACACCCAGCAUACUCAGUCCCUAGCACUACACAGAUCAAGUGUCCUGGCACAGCCAUGAAAGUCCAGCACGCAGGAGGUGGAAU